Molecule: ribosomal RNA, 440 nt
Filed under: uncultured bacterium
Lineage: Bacteria
Description: partial 16S ribosomal RNA
Rfam family: Bacterial small subunit ribosomal RNA
Source: RNAcentral
CCUACGGGUGGCAGCAGUGGGGAAUAUUGCACAAUGGGGGAAAUCCUGAUGCAGCGACGCCGCGUGAGUGAAGAAGUAUCUCGGUAUGUAAAGCUCUAUCAGCCGGGAAGAAAAUGACGGUACCUGAUUAAGAAGCCCCGGCUAACUACGUGCCAGCAGCCGCGGUAAUACGGCGGGGGCAAGCGUUAUCCGGAUUUACUGGGUGUAAAGGGGGCGUAGUCGGUGAUGCAAGUCAGGAGGGAAAGCCCGGGGCUCAAAUCCGGGAGGGCCUUUGAAACUGUGUGACUGGAGUGCAGGAGAGGUAAGCGGAAUUCCUGGUGUAGCGGUGAAAUGCGUAGAUAUCAGGAGGAACACCAGUGGCGAAGGCGGCGUACUGGCCCGUAACUGACGUUGAGGCACGAAAGCGUGGGGAGCAAACAGGAUUAGAUACCCGGGUAGUC